AUUGAACGCUGGCGGCAUGCUUUACACAUGCCAGUCGAACGGCAGCGCGGGCUUCGGCCUGGCGGCGAGUGGCGAACGGGUGAGUAAUGCAUCGGAACGUGCCCAGUAGUGGGGGAUAGCCCGGCGAAAGCCGGAUUAAUACCGCAUACGACCUGAGGGUGAAAGCGGGGGACCGAAAGGCCUCGCGCUAUUGGAGCGGCCGAUGUCGGAUUAGCUAGUUGGUGGGGUAAAGGCUUACCAAGGCGACGAUCCGUAGCUGGUCUGAGAGGACGACCAGCCACACUGGGACUGAGACACGGCCCAGACUCCUACGGGAGGCAGCAGUGGGGAAUUUUGGACAAUGGGGGCAACCCUGAUCCAGCCAUGCCGCGUGCGAGAAGAAGGCCUUCGGGUUGUAAACCGCUUUUGUUCGGGAAGAAAUCCUCUGGGCUAAUACCCCGGGGGGAUGACGGUACCGGAAGAAUAAGCACCGGCUAACUACGUG
RNAcentral lists this ribosomal RNA (484 nucleotides) under uncultured bacterium. RNAcentral describes it as "partial 16S ribosomal RNA". It matches the Rfam family "Bacterial small subunit ribosomal RNA", at positions 28 to 507 of the family's 1533-position model. The record is from RNAcentral.